Molecule: ribosomal RNA, 493 nt
Filed under: uncultured bacterium
Lineage: Bacteria
Description: partial 16S ribosomal RNA
Rfam family: Bacterial small subunit ribosomal RNA
Source: RNAcentral
AUUGAACGCUGGCGGCAUGCUUUACACAUGCAAGUCGAACGGUAACAGGUUAAGCUGACGAGUGGCGAACGGGUGAGUAAUGCAUCGGAACGUGCCCGGUCGUGGGGGAUAACGCAGCGAAAGUUGCGCUAAUACCGCAUACGAUCUGAGGAUGAAAGCGGGGGACCGUAAGGCCUCGCGCGAUCGGAGCGGCCGAUGUCAGAUUAGGUAGUUGGUGGGGUAAAGGCUCACCAAGCCAACGAUCUGUAGCUGGUCUGAGAGGACGACCAGCCACACUGGGACUGGGACACGGCCCAGACUCCUACGGGAGGCAGCGGUGGGGAAUUUUGGACAAUGGGCGAAAGCCUGAUCCAGCAAUGCCGCGUGCAGGAAGAAGGCCUUCGGGUUGUAAACUGCUUUUGUACGGAGCGAAAAGGUCUCCUCUAAUACAGGGGGCUCAUGACGGUACCGUAAGAAUAAGCACCGGCUAACUACGUGCCAGCCGCCGCCGUAA